RNAcentral lists this unclassified non-coding RNA (248 nucleotides) under plant metagenome. RNAcentral's name for it is "partial contains small subunit ribosomal RNA, internal transcribed spacer 1, and 5.8S ribosomal RNA". The stretch from base 200 to 248 matches the Rfam family "5.8S ribosomal RNA", at positions 1 to 49 of the family's 154-position model. The record is from RNAcentral.
UUUCCGUAGGUGAACCUGCGGAAGGAUCAUUACAGUGUUCCCUGCCCUUCGGGGUAGGAUCGCCACCCUUGAUUAUUUAUGAGUGUUGCUUUGGCGGGCCUCGCGGCCUGGCCGCGCCCCGGCUUCGGCGGGGGAGCGCCCGCCAGAGGAUUCUACAAACCUGAUUAUUAGUGUCGUCUGAGUACUAUAUAAUAGUUAAAACUUUCAACAACGGAUCUCUUGGUUCUGGCAUUGAUGAAGAACGCAGC